This 244-nucleotide small RNA is filed under the name Vigna angularis var. angularis. Its description in RNAcentral is "Non-protein coding transcript". Lineage: Eukaryota; Viridiplantae; Streptophyta; Magnoliopsida; Fabales; Fabaceae. The record is from RNAcentral.
UUUUUGGCUACAAGUUGGGUUAUAGAGUAGAGGGUAUUUGGAUUGGGAUGAUCUGUGGGACAGCUUUGCAAACACUCAUCUUGUUGAUUAUUGUCUAUAGAACCAACUGGAACAAGGAGGUUGAGCAAGCAUCAGAACGAAUGCGGCAAUGGACCGGACAAGAAAUGGAUACUAAUACAACGACUUCUCCAGGUGCAGCGAAGAAUUAGUCUCUCUCAAAUCUACGACGGGCUACAUAGAGAUG